This 313-nucleotide ribosomal RNA is filed under the name uncultured Glomus. RNAcentral's name for it is "SSU rRNA". It matches the Rfam family "Eukaryotic small subunit ribosomal RNA", at positions 569 to 886 of the family's 1831-position model. The record is from RNAcentral. Lineage: Eukaryota; Fungi; Glomeromycota; Glomeromycetes; Glomerales; Glomeraceae.
AGCAGCCGCGGUAAUUCUAGCUUCAAUAUCUUAUAUUAAAGUUGUUGCAGUUAAAAAGCUCGUAGUUGAAUUUCGGGAUCAGUGGGUCGGUCGUGCCACUGGUAUGUACUAGCCCUACUGGUUCCUCCUUCUUGAGGAACUGUGAUGCCAUUAAUUUGGUGUUGCAGGGAAACAGGACUGUUACUUUGAAAAAAUUAGAGUGUUUAAAGUAGGCAAUCGCUUGAAUACAUUAGUAUGGAAUAAUGAAAUAGGACGUUCGACCCUAUUUUGUUAGUUUUUAGGAUUGACGUAAUGAUUAAUAGGGAUAGUUGGG